Molecule: long non-coding RNA, 1991 nt
Organism: Heterocephalus glaber (naked mole-rat)
Lineage: Eukaryota; Metazoa; Chordata; Mammalia; Rodentia; Bathyergidae
Source: Ensembl
AGGGUGGAGACUUGAGUCCCAGCUCCAGCACCUCUGUGUUCACCUCUUGGGCCUGCAAAGUGUGCAGAAGGACCCUUGUCCCGAGUACCUCCGGGCUCCGGGAAGAAGGGAGGAGGCAGUGCUGGAUGGCAGAGACUCCUGGGAUGAGCAGGCAGGAGCAGCAAGGAUGACACUACUGUCAUCAAGUGAUGACACUGCAGGUGGUGAGCACACUUUGAGGAGGACAGGACGCCUGGCUCUCCCCACUCCCUAGGGCUCUGACCAUAGGCAGUCAGCUGACACGAGGCUGGGCAGAUAUGCAGUUCCUGCCUGACCAUGAGAGGCUGUGGGGAGACAGCAGCUGGCUGCUGCGUGAAGAAGAUAGCCUUCACCAGAAUCUUCCAGCUGCAAGUGACACAGCCAACUUAACUGGCUAUAGCCAAAGGAGGGUUUGUGGAGAUAGAGCAGCUUCAGGUAUAGCUGAUUCCAGGCACCCAUCACCUGAACUUGGCAUUUACCCCCUCCCCCACAGCUCUGUUUGCCUUGUCACUCCAUGUCAUUUGCAGGUAGAUCCUUUCUCUCUGGUCCCAGUAAUCAGAAGUCUCUUUCUCCCAAGAAUCUGAACUCAAGUCUUGGCCUGACCCAGGCUCUUGCUUCCCUGGCUCGAGUCAGAUGUUCACUCUGGAUGGGGGGCAGAUCCAGCCCCACUGAACUCUGACACUGAGAGUAAGUAGAUGCAGCAUGGCUGCCCCCAGAAAAAUCAGCGAGCCAUGGCCAGAGGCACAGUGCAGCGGAUGAAACACCUCUGUUCCAUGACGUUAGGCCUCAGCUGGGCCAUAGGACCUUCUGUCUCAAGCCUUUUCACCCUGUCUUUCCUUAGGCUGGGCCUUGGCUGGACAUGAACCAGGAGAGCAGCCUGCAGCCUCCUUGUGGCCUGGGUUCUCCCAGCACAGCUGUCUGGGGAGCAACUCAGGACCCAAGAGCAAGCCUCUUAUGACCCAGCUUUGGGAGUCACAUGGUGUCACUGUCACUGUUCUUUACUGGCCAAGGUGAGCACGAGCCCACCCAGAUGCCGGCACAGAGGACACAGACCUCAGAUUGCAGUGGCAGCCAGUCGUGCUUCAAACUUCCUCAGGCUCCCAGCAGGGGGGUGACUGCACCCCCAGGGACAGCAACAAUGCUUGGUCAUGUUCUGCAUGGUCAUGAGGGGGUGGGAGAAGUUGCUAGUGGCACCUAGGGGUAAAGUCAGGGAGCUGCUAAGCACCCUCUAGGGUGCAGCCUACAGCAAAGAGAGACCCGGCCCCCAAUGCCAACGGGGCCACAGUGGAGAUGCCUCAGGACAAUGGCCAAGGACCAGCAUGCCCAGCUGGCUUUUCCAGCUUUUUGCCAGGGCUGGGUGCAAAAGGGCUGUGCUGAGGGACAGGGCACCCCUGCUUGGACUGGGCACAGGAUCUCUUUGGAAAGGAGCAGGGCCAGGCAUUGGCUGGGGUCCCCUUCCCCACUCUGCAUCUCCCAAGACAUCUCGUUUACUUAUUGGAGACAGGUGGACUGCUCAGGUCUCGGAUGGCAGUCAGAGCUGGUGUAGACAGCACAAUCUGCUUCACCUCAGUUCUGGAGCAUCCUCAGCGCAGGCACUGUGCGGCCAGAGGGGUGCUGGCUGGUGUCCAGAGACUGGGUGUCCUCCAUUUCCACUCUGCCCCCGCCUCCACCCCAGUUCCUAUGGAAAUGCCAACCAAACGCUCAGCUACAAAGCAUCACCAGGCAGAGGCCACAGCCUUCCGGGGACACCCUGGGCAGCUGCCCGAGAGUCCCAGGACGUGCACACAUUGUUCCAUUUUUGGAAUUCUUCAGGAGUGAGAGCAGCCCUGGCUGCCGCCUGAGCUCGGCUUAUGGAGGCCAGCCCUGUGGGGAGAGAGGGGAGCUAUUGUCCAGGCUGGGCUGCAGGCCGCAAGAAUGUGCCAGAAUGUGGCCUGCCUGGCACAGCCCCAGAGCCAGCCUUUGUGUGCCAGCAG